GACGAACGCUGGCGGCGUGCUUAACACAUGCAAGUCGAACGGAAAGGCCCUGCUUUUGUGGGGUGCUCGAUUGGCGAACGGGUGAGUAACACGUGAGUAACCUGCCCUUGACUUUGGGAUAACUUCAGGUAACUGGGGCUAAUACCGGAUAGGAUCUCCUGCUGCAUGGUGGGGGUUGGAACGUUUCGGCGGUUGGGGAUGGACUCGCGGCUUAUGAGCUUGUUGGUGGGGUAGUGGCUUACCAAGGCUUUGACGGGUAGCCGGCCUGAGAGGGUGACCGGCCACAUUGGGACUGAGAUACGGCCCAGACUCCUACGGGAGGCAGCAGUGGGGAAUAUUGCACAAUGGGCGGAAGCCGGAUGCAGCAACGCCGCGUGCGGGAUGACGGCCUUCGGGUUGUAAACCGCUUUCGCCUGUGACGAAGCGUGAGUGACGGUAAUGGGCAAAGAAGCACCGGCUAACUACGUG
RNAcentral lists this ribosomal RNA (468 nucleotides) under uncultured bacterium. Its description in RNAcentral is "partial 16S ribosomal RNA". It matches the Rfam family "Bacterial small subunit ribosomal RNA", at positions 28 to 507 of the family's 1533-position model. The record is from RNAcentral.